UACGUAGGUGACCAGCGUUGUCCGGAUUUACUGGGCGUAAAGAGCGCGCAGGCGGUCGUUCAAGUCGAGUGUGAAAGCCCCCGGCUCAACUGGGGAGGGUCAUUCGAUACUGAUCGACUUGAAGGCAGGAGAGGGAAGUGGAAUUCCCGGUGUAGUGGUGAAAUGCGUAGAUAUCGUAAGGAAGACCAGUGGCGAAGGCGGGUCUCUGGACAGUUCCUGACGCUGAGGCACGAAGGCCAGGGGAGCAAACGGG
Molecule: ribosomal RNA, 253 nt
Filed under: uncultured bacterium
Lineage: Bacteria
Description: partial 16S ribosomal RNA
Rfam family: Bacterial small subunit ribosomal RNA
Source: RNAcentral